GCCCGGAUAGCUCGUCGGUAGAGCAGGGGAUUGAAAACUUCGUGUCCUGGUUCGAUUCCGAGUCCGGGCACCA
This 73-nucleotide transfer RNA is filed under the name Salmonella enterica subsp. enterica. RNAcentral describes it as "tRNA-Phe". It matches the Rfam family "tRNA". From Rfam's summary of the family: Transfer RNA (tRNA) molecules are approximately 80 nucleotides in length. Their secondary structure includes four short double-helical elements and three loops (D, anti-codon, and T loops). Lineage: Bacteria; Pseudomonadati; Pseudomonadota; Gammaproteobacteria; Enterobacterales; Enterobacteriaceae. The record is from RNAcentral.